UGCAAUCUGAUUGGAGGGUCAAAGGCAGUACACAGAGUAGAAAUGUGUACAAAACUUCAUGUUAAGAAAUGCUGCAUCGCACAGCUUCUGGUCCUGUCCGAACGCUUCUGUGAGCGUUUAUCUCCUGCCGUGACGAUGGGUGGAGGAUGGUCAGAGGAAGAAAAGGAGAAGUUUGCUACUGAGCUUUUCCAGGCUGUCCAGGGGACUUCAGUGAUGCCUGAUAUUGGCAUUGACUACUCCAUACUGAAGUACUCGGGACUGAACUCGUCCUCUGCUCUGGACGACUACUCUUCUCAGCUUAUCGACCUGUCCAUUUUAGGCUACAUGAAGGACCUGGGUUCUGCUUUAUCGAAUUUUAACAACGUACCGAACGCUGUGGGGCUCGGGGCUCUGCUUAUCUCCAUACUUCUGGACACCAUGAUUGGUCUGAAGAAGACCGAAGAUGAAGCAAAUGUGUCGGGAAUGAUGCGGCGGGUGUUCGCUGAAGAAAAGGCCUCGGAUGUCCGAGACUUCAUGGAUGAGUACAUCAAACGCUUUAGUUUAAAAAUGCACAAUCCUGAAGAGCUGCUUGGAGGAACAGCUCAGCAACGGGCUGACCCGGCUCAGGAACUCCAUGCUCCACGAUAACCAAAUCAGCACACGUUCAAUGAAGCACUGGACCAACGGCGCGGUGUUCCACCUGCAGAUGUUCAUCCACAAGGCCCGGAUGGAGGUGGGGAAAAGCGGGAGUUCCAGUUCUGAGCUCGACAGGCAGGUGCUGUCAGUCGGCGAACUGGCCGAACAUUACGGAAACGACCUGAAUGACCUCCUAACCAAGUAUGAGGCUUACAAACGUUCUACCAUCAAAACCAUCACAGAUACGCAGAGUGUUCCUACACUAACUGGAGGGCCAGAAUGGACGGCUUUUAACUCUGUACAUUUCGAUACAGAGUUAAAUACACAAGCUGGGUUUGAAAAUGGUCUAGAAUGGUACGGCUGCGAAUCUAUACAAGAAACCUAUCGGAACUACAUGUUUAAGAACUGGAAUCUGCUUAAAGAGCUCAGGGAGUAUUUCCCCUCCAUCAAACAGAACCUCAGAGUGACGAUAAUGCAGAACACGACCUUUUCCAUCGAGAAGUUCUUACCUGCUCCAGAAAGAAAUUAUAGAACAGAUAACUGAAUGUAACUGUAACUACAGCCUACGAUUAGCUUAAGAAUCCAGUGAGGACUCUUAAUUUAACCUAAGACUUAAUUUAUAUGUAGAUAGAUAGAUAGAUAGAUAGAUAGA
RNAcentral lists this long non-coding RNA (1267 nucleotides) under Astyanax mexicanus (Mexican tetra). Its description in RNAcentral is "lncRNA (ENSAMXG00005004118.1)". Lineage: Eukaryota; Metazoa; Chordata; Actinopteri; Characiformes; Acestrorhamphidae. The record is from RNAcentral.